GAGAUGAAAUCUCAGCCACUUAAACUCAAAAAAAUAACUUCUCCUAUGGCAGUUCAAAACAGUUCUUCACAGUUUCUUCAACAGGUGGUUACCACCAUUUUUUUCUACCCAUUAUCUCCACAAUUCAAGCUGGUGGUUUUGCUCAACUCCUCCAAAACUCAAGUCUACAAUCCUCCUGGUAAACCGCCAAUUCAACUGUCCACUCUCCCUUAAUUUUAGGGUUUGAAGAGGUUAUAUAUAGAUUGAUGAGCGCAAGAAGGAAAUCUGAAGUGGAGUUCUCCUUGACGACGGUUCCCUCAGUGCUCCUGUAACUGCCGAUUUGUGCUUCUCACCCACCCAUAAAUCUAUGGGUUCCAUCUCUAAAUCAAAUAGCAAGAGAGUAGAUUCCUCCGACGAUUGACAGAGUGAGCAGGGGUUGAUUUAAUUGAUCUAGGGUUCCACCCACGGGUUCAAGGUAAUUAAGUUUCACCAACCCAUGGCGUCAUGUACAAUCUUAGUCCGGAGGAUUGCGGGCGGAGCUUUGUUCCUCGUGUAAAUAGGCUGGACCGCUGGAGUCGAUGAACAAGAAUAAGAACGGUCAAAAGUCAACAACUGGGAUGUGAAUGGUUUUAGAUUCUCCUUCAGCGUACAACCUUAUCCAGGUCUCAAAUUGAAACCUCGAAGGCAAUGAAGUGGAGCUCCAGUUGGUAAGUCGUUCAUCAUCGAUCAUCUUUUAAAAUUUCUUUAUUGCGUCACAACAACCACCGACCUUCAGAAGGAGAUACUUUAUUAAGCGCUCCAAACUCAUCCUUUUUAGAAAUCCGGUCAAACUCUUUUUUUUUGGUAGUAAACGAGUCAAAAUACCAUUUUUUGGUGAACCAGUCAAAAUUUUAAUUUUAGUAAACAUGUCAAAUUCAUCGUUUUUAGUAAUCGAGUCAAAUUACCAUUUUUAGUGAACAUGUCAAAAUUAUAAUUUUAGUAAACGGGUCAAACAUAUCAUAUUUAGUAAACACGUGGGUCAAAACUGUAAUUUUAGUAAACGGGUCAAACAUAUCAUAUUUAGUAAACACGUGGAUCAAAACUGUAAUUUUAGUAAACGGGUCAAACAUAUCAUAUUUAGUAAAUACGUGGGUCAAAAUUAUAAUUUUAGUAAACGGGUCAAACAUGUCAUAUUUAGUAAACAUGUGGGUCAAAAUUAUAAUUUUAGUAAACGGGUCAAACAGGUUUAGCCACACGAGAACUUUAAUGGGUCUUUUUAACAUUUAUUGAUCAUCAUGCACUGUAUAAUGGGGAGCAUCAAUCAGAAGACAAAAAAGAAAAAGGGGCCAAAACUUUAUACGCUCUAGGAAACCGAAGCAACAAGCACCUAGUGGCAUGGGUAAGAUGGUCAAUUGCUGAUUUACAUCUGCUUUGAGGACAAAUUUGUUUAACCUCUAAAGUUUAUUUUUUAAUGUAUGAACAACAUAUACUUCCUAAAUCAGGAUAAAUUUAGUCGCGGAUUUGUUAUUUUCUAUGCCAAAUUUAUAGGUAAUUAUAAUUAUACUCAAAAUGUCACUUUUUGAAAGGGAUUGUGUUGGGUAUGUUAUUGGUUAUAUAUAACAUGGCUGUCCUACUGAGCCAUUAUCGGCCUAAUGGCAUAUUUGCCGUUACAGACGAGUAAGUCCCAUAGCUCUAUCAGAUACGUAGAAUUAUCUUUUUUUUUCUUUUUUUGCAUAUUUGUUUUUAUUGUUGUUUUCUUUUUCUGAUAUUCUAUAAUGUGCUUUUGAUAAACAGUAAAAGGGUACAACAGAAAUUGGCUUUGUAUCAAGGAGUAUGCCCCAUUUACAUGGAAUUCGCAGACGAUGCUGAAGAAACCUUUUCAAAUGCUCUUCAAGUGUUAAAGGUGAGAUUUACUCCGCUAAUUCAAUGUUUUCUCGUCUUUCCUUUUGGAAGUGUUUGGAUGUGCACUUUUGAAAAAGUAAAUAUUCCGCUUAUGAUUAUCAAGGGCCCAAAUUUUUCAUUAUGAUACCCAGCCACACCAAAAUUGAAAAUCGAAGGAGAAAGUAAAAUGACUUAUUUAUCAACUUACCCUUUUAAACCAUUGUUUUUAUUUAUUUAUCAACUUACCUCAUUGCAUAAUAAAAAAAAAAUGUCAAACAAUCAAAAAAAUAAGUAACUGUUAUGACUUCAGUUAUUUGAUUGUUAUCCAACAUCACAUACACUUUGGAAACACACAUUUAAACUCCCCAUGAAUUAUUAUGCUGUUUGAUCAUUUCAUGAGGGAAUAAAAAUAUUAUUGGGUGUAAGCUGAAUAACAUUGAUAUCUGUUCGCAUAUAGUAUUCUUGAUAAGAUAUCUUUUGGAAUAACAUAUGUCGGGUGGUGGCAAAGGCACUUCAUCUGCUUUGGCUUUAUCAAAUGCCAUUCAAAUCCUGCUGGUACUCUUUAUUUGUGAUUAAAAAGUUGUUUACUUAAAUGGUUUUUGUUCAUUUUUCAUGUUUUUUGGUUAAACUUCUUAAUCUUUAUCUAAAAAGAUGUUUAACUUAAUGAUUUUUGUUGUUAUGUUUUCAAUGUUUUUUAGUUAAAUUUGUAGCUUCUGCGAUUGGAGAGCAGCAUAAACGCGCUCCAAUGUUGGAAGAUAGGAACACAGGAUAGGUAAUCGUGGUGGGAUUGGAAUUGUACAAGAUAAAACUAUAGAAGGUUGGAAUCAUGGUGGGAUUUAGAACAGGAACAUUUAAAAUAUACAUGUAUAAGAGGGAGAAUCAUGGAAAUUUUACUUGCUUUACCGGUUUUUCAUUUAUCAGUGGAUGUGUGUAGCACCUUAGUGUAGCUCCUGGCAGCAGAAGUAAACUGAUAUUUAUUAUAAUGUA
Helianthus annuus (common sunflower) is the source of this 2826-nucleotide long non-coding RNA. RefSeq lists it as uncharacterized. The transcript has 4 exons. NCBI's taxonomy places the organism in Eukaryota, Viridiplantae, Streptophyta, Magnoliopsida, Asterales, Asteraceae. The record is from RefSeq and is a predicted model, not a curated record.